AUUUCUUCGGAGAGUUUGAUCCUGGCUCAGGAUGAACGCUGGCGGCGUGCCUAAUACAUGCAAGUCGAGCGAACU
Molecule: ribosomal RNA, 75 nt
Filed under: Bacillus sp. Root239
Lineage: Bacteria; Bacillati; Bacillota; Bacilli; Caryophanales; Bacillaceae
Description: partial 16S ribosomal RNA
Rfam family: Bacterial small subunit ribosomal RNA
Source: RNAcentral